UACGAGGGGUGCAAGCGUUGCUCGGAAUUAUUGGGCGUAAAGGGUUGGUAGGUGGUCUUGUUUGUCUAGGGUGAAAUCCCAUGGCUUAACUGUGGAAGUGCCCUAGAAACGGCAAGACUAGAGUCCUAGAGGGGUUUGCGGAAUUCCCGGUGUAGCGGUGAAAUGCGUAGAGAUCGGGAGGAACACCAGCGGCGAAGGCGGCAAACUGGAUAGGCACUGACACUCAACAACGAAAGCGUGGGGAGCAAACAGGG
RNAcentral lists this ribosomal RNA (254 nucleotides) under uncultured bacterium. RNAcentral's name for it is "partial 16S ribosomal RNA". It matches the Rfam family "Bacterial small subunit ribosomal RNA", at positions 524 to 777 of the family's 1533-position model. The record is from RNAcentral.